UCGAGAAUUUUUGGCAAUGGGCGAAAGCCUGACCAAGCGAUGCCGCGUGCGGGAUGAAGGCCUUCGGGUUGUAAACCGCUGUCAGUGGGGAGGAAAGCUUUGUGAAGAGCAAGGCUUGACCUAUCCGCAGAGGAAGUGUGGGCUAAGUUCGUGCCAGCAGCCGCGGUAAGACGAACCACACAAACGUUAUUCGGAAUUACUGGGCUUAAAGGGUGCGUAGGCUGCGCAGUAAGUUGGGUGUGAAAUACCUCGGCUCAACCGAGGAACUGCGCCCAAAACUACUGUGCUUGAGGAAGAUAGAGGUAAGCGGAACUUACGGUGGAGCGGUGAAAUGCGUUGAUAUCGUAAGGAACACCUGUGGCGAAAGCGGCUUACUGGGUCUUUUCUGACGCUGAUGCACGAAAGCUAGGGGAGCAAACGGG
RNAcentral lists this ribosomal RNA (422 nucleotides) under uncultured bacterium. RNAcentral describes it as "bacterial SSU rRNA". It matches the Rfam family "Bacterial small subunit ribosomal RNA", at positions 355 to 776 of the family's 1533-position model. The record is from RNAcentral.